AUUGCUGGGGCUGACUCUCGCUCCUCCAGGGGCCGUCGUUCUUUUACAAAGAGGGGUGGAGGUUGUUGGUGCCUUUUUUUUUUUUCUUUAUGAAUGGAGGGCGGCGGCGACUGCUGCAGCUGGCUCAGCUGCGCGGGCUGUACCCCCUCCCAGCCUGCGAGAGGAGGAAACUAGAGGAGGACCUGCCCCAACAAAACCAAGGCGUAAAUCAAGAGAGUAGACACCGUGGAAAUAACUGCAUGGAGCUCAGGCUCCCCGGAAGCUGUCCUGCCGUACGUGAAGCUUGUUGGAGCGGCACAGAAGAAGAAUGAAAAAAUGCUGGGGUCUCAACAUAACAUACCAGGAGGGGGUCCAGUGAGUCUACAUUUUAGAGGCACCCAGCCUGCGUGUUCAUCCUAGCCUCUGCUGCGUUGGCUGUGUGACCUGGGACAAGUUACAAAAAGAAUACAAAGAAUUCCCUGUAUUCCCUUUGUAAUAUGUUUUUAAAAGAUGAAAUAAUUAAAAGAAAUGUGCCCCGAAUAUCAGAUGUCAGACCUUCUACCACCAAGACUCUAUACAUAUCCAGGAGUGGAAUUGCUGGGUCAUAUGGUAGUUCUAUUUUUAGUUUUUUGAGAAAUCUCCAUACUGUUUUCCACAGUGGCUGUACUAGUUUACAUUCCCACCAACAGUGUAUGAAGGUUCCCUUUUCUCUCACAAUCCUGUUUUCUUCGUGUGCUGCUCCACAUAUGUGAAUUUAUGCCCUUUCAGUCUCGCAUAAGUAGCUUCACAUUGUUUUCAUCCUCUGUGAUCAAAAUGACAAGGAUUCUUCAUCUUUAGGGAUCACAGAUUAAUAUAGUGAAUUAGUCUGUGAGCCCUGGUGUCACUGCCUGCAUUGGAAUGUCAAUCCUACCACUUAUCAUCUGUGAUCCUGAGUCUCAGUUUCCCAGUCUGGGAAACGGUACCAACCUCAUAGGAUUAAUCGAACAAGAAAGAGAGGUCAGUAGCCCUUAGUGGACGACUGAGUGGACGAGGGUUGGUUCCCGCUUCUGCCCAGGUUUAAUGGCUCUUCCAGCGACAUCUGCAUUUAUGAGGGGGGAAAGAAAAAGGAUCCCUAACAGAUGGAAAAAGAGGCCCUCUGGGUAAAGAAAGAAAAACUUCCACUAAAAGAGGACACCAGUGGUCAAAUGACACGUGUGAGUGGUGGCGAGUUUUGGCAAAAGGGAGGCGGCAGAAAUUCAAGGUGACUUCAUCACUCUUCACAGCAUCCCUGGAGGAAGGUGGCACCGGCUCUGUCCUACAGGAGAAUGAAUUGGUGCUGACUACAAGGACUGUACAAGAAAGAGGUGAAGAAGAGACUGGAAAACCAACAUGAGAACUUCAUCUUAUAAGACAAUGAAGACAAGGGAACCAGAGCAACGGUCAGCCCGAGGCUUCUUCAGCUGUAGCCUGUGGACCAAAGGCAUCAGAACCAGCUGGGCCCCAGCCAGGAAAUGCAGAAUCCUGGGCCCCUCAUGAACCCGGCUAUGUCAGGACUUGUGUGGGCCACUGGCCCAGAUGCUUGUCCUUGUUCCUCUACCUUGGACUCCUUUACCUCCCAGCUGAGUUGGACAUCCUGUCAGCCCAGGUUCAUUCUCUGUUACCUGCCCCCCAGCUACGCCAUCUGGGAUGGGGUGAAGCCAGGACAAGAUGUCAUUUUGCAAAGGAGGCAGAGCCCAUAUCAGGAUGCUUUGGCACCAGGACAUUGUCAGGUUUGAAGGAGACUCCAGGAACUGCUACAGCCAUCUGCCAGCCUAACAAGGAAACCAACUCAAAGCAGAGAGCAGAGGCCAAGGAAUUUCAGGAAAGCAGGGCCAGGAUAUGUUGUGGAUGGACCCUAAUCUACCCCUGAACUUCUUAUUACGUGAGGUACCCAAGGAGAGCGUCCUUUGUGCCAGGUACUGUGCCAACCAUCCUUGAAGGUUAACUCCUGACCAUCCCAUGUGCUAAUGACACCCAACUCUCUGAAGUCCGGACCCCUCUCCCUUCAGAUUCACGCUUGGACAUUCACAAGGUCCUGAAAUGAACCUGGGCCUCUUAUAGAACAAGGGCGGAAACCUACCUCCAGUUCCAUCUUUACGUGAGCACCCGCCCUCGACAAUUUAUGGGAUUAUGCUGAAAAAUCAAUCUUUUACAAUUUCACCUAACAUCUGCCAGAGGAAACAAAAGAUUAUUAAAAGGGGACUUAUCAGAGUUCAUCUUCCAACAAAGUGGUGGAAGAAGUGUUUGACUUCCAAGGCUACGUCAUAAAAGGUAAUUCAGCUUUCCUCUUGUGAGCUGGGACGUUCACACUGGGGUGCUGAGGCUGCCAUGCAGUGAGGAAACUCAACUAGACCACAUUGAGAGACCACACAGUGAAGUCCUGAGCCCACCGAAGAGAGGGAGAUGCUCCUGUUACCAUAUGACUGCAAACAUAUGCGAGACCCCAAGCCAGAAUCACCCAGCCAGGCUCUCUCCCAAAUUCCUGACCCACAGAGAU
Molecule: long non-coding RNA, 2494 nt
Organism: Balaenoptera acutorostrata (minke whale)
Lineage: Eukaryota; Metazoa; Chordata; Mammalia; Artiodactyla; Balaenopteridae
Exons: 17
Source: RefSeq, a predicted model, not a curated record